CUCGCCAGCUCCUGCGAGAUUGCAGAGCUUGGUUCUUCCUUCGUUUUCUUCAAUUUUUCUCUAUAAAAACUUGCAUGCAAAGCUUGAUUCAUAUUCUAAACACAUAGGUGCAUACUGGGAAGGUAAAAGUUCGAGCUUUAAGAGUCGGGAAGUUCAAGAAGCAAGGCCAUCUUCUUCAAUCAAGGAAACAGAUCAAAAAGAAUCAAGAAUCCAGUCUUGAGGAGCAGUAGAAGUCGAGUUACACCAUUUACAAGUUAAGACUCUUGUGCAGGGAAAAGCAAGCUAAGGUAGUGUGAGGGAUGAGCUGUAGUGAAGUCAUGUCUCAACUGUCAUAGUGG
This is a long non-coding RNA of Beta vulgaris subsp. vulgaris (sugar beet), 338 nucleotides long. RefSeq lists it as uncharacterized. The transcript has 3 exons. NCBI's taxonomy places the organism in Eukaryota, Viridiplantae, Streptophyta, Magnoliopsida, Caryophyllales, Amaranthaceae. The record is from RefSeq and is a predicted model, not a curated record.